GGCGAACGCUGGCGGCGUGCUUAACACAUGCAAGUCGAACGAUGAAGCAGAGAAACGCGUACUUCGGUUCAAAUUUCACUUCGGAUUAGUGGCAGACGGGUGAGUAACGCGUGAGCAACCUACCUCUUACAAAGGGAUAGCCUCGGGAAACCGUGAUUAAUACCAUAUGACACAUUCACAAGGCAUCUUAAGAAUGUUAAAGCUACGGCGGUAAGAGAUGGGCUCGCGUCCCAUUAGCUAGUUGGUGAGGUAACGGCCCACCAAGGCGACGAUGGGUAACCGGACUGGGAGGGUGAACGGUCACAUUGGAAGUGAGACACGGUCCAAACUCCUACGGGAGGCAGCAGUGAGGAAUAUUGCACAAUGGAGGGAAGUCUGAUGCAGCGACGCCGCGUGAGCGAUGAAGGAAUUCGAUACGUAAAGCUCUGUUCUAUGGGAAGAAAAGGACUGUACCAUAGGAGAAAGCCCCGGCUAAAUACGUG
RNAcentral lists this ribosomal RNA (482 nucleotides) under uncultured bacterium. RNAcentral describes it as "partial 16S ribosomal RNA". It matches the Rfam family "Bacterial small subunit ribosomal RNA", at positions 28 to 507 of the family's 1533-position model. The record is from RNAcentral.